UACGUAGGCAGCAAGCGUUGUUCGGAGUUACUGGGCGUAAAGGGUGCGUAGGCGGUUGUUUAAGUUUGGUGUGAAAUCUCCCGGCUCAACUGGGAGGGUGCGCCGAAUACUGAAUGACUAGAGUGCGGGAGAGGAAAGUGGAAUUCCUGGUGUAGCGGUGAAAUGCGUAGAUAUCAGGAGGAACACCGGUGGUGUAGACGGCUUUCUGGACCGUAACUGACGCUGAGACACGGAAAGCGUGGGUAGCAAACAGG
This 254-nucleotide ribosomal RNA is filed under the name uncultured bacterium. RNAcentral describes it as "partial 16S ribosomal RNA". It matches the Rfam family "Bacterial small subunit ribosomal RNA", at positions 524 to 776 of the family's 1533-position model. The record is from RNAcentral.